CCAGUGAGGGAAGCCUGGGGCGAACUGA
Molecule: non-coding RNA, 28 nt
Filed under: Cricetulus griseus (Chinese hamster)
Lineage: Eukaryota; Metazoa; Chordata; Mammalia; Rodentia; Cricetidae
Source: RNAcentral